Molecule: unclassified non-coding RNA, 275 nt
Filed under: Hevea brasiliensis (rubber tree)
Lineage: Eukaryota; Viridiplantae; Streptophyta; Magnoliopsida; Malpighiales; Euphorbiaceae
Source: RNAcentral
GAAAAGAGUUAGUACUAAAAAACUCUCAAUAUUCUCUAAGAGUAUUUUGAAAAAUUUUCUCAUAACUAAUCUAUGUGAAUACCAUCAGAAGCCAGAUAUUUGGAUGGCUAGUGAUUUGCUACAACCCGACCUGGUUAUUAGAAAAUUCUUCAAGCUGUUUGAGGUAAUUUACUAAAUAAUAAAAUUUUAAUUAUAACAAAUUCAUACUUAAUUAAAGUUGAUCUUGUUUAGUUGAGAUUUAAUGCUUCUUAACAGUGGUAUCAGAGCCAUUUUAA